GCUGGUGUGGCUCAGCUGGCAGAGCAGCUGAUUCGUAAUCAGCAGGUCGUGGGUUCAAAUCCCACCACCAGCUCCA
Molecule: transfer RNA, 76 nt
Filed under: candidate division TA06 bacterium ADurb.Bin417
Lineage: Bacteria
Also listed under: 2 other names
Description: tRNA-Thr
Rfam family: tRNA
About the family: Transfer RNA (tRNA) molecules are approximately 80 nucleotides in length. Their secondary structure includes four short double-helical elements and three loops (D, anti-codon, and T loops).
Source: RNAcentral